Molecule: unclassified non-coding RNA, 263 nt
Filed under: Hevea brasiliensis (rubber tree)
Lineage: Eukaryota; Viridiplantae; Streptophyta; Magnoliopsida; Malpighiales; Euphorbiaceae
Source: RNAcentral
AAGACAGUCUGUGCCUUGUUUGCAUUUGUUUGGCGAUGCAACCGAAGCCUGAGCGACUAAUGGCGCAAAACGACAACAGAGAGCUCCAAGCAAUGCCUUUUCACGAAUUGAAUCGAAAUCAAUUAUUUCAAGAACGCGGUUGUGUUCGUUUCACGGGAAAUCGGUUCCCAUGGAAUCAUUUACGGCGUCUUCUAGGUUCCAAUUCCGUGACCACCAGCAACCGGAGGAUGCAACAGAUUCCGAUGCCAGUUCCGACAUCUCCU